This 29-nucleotide non-coding RNA is filed under the name Mus musculus (house mouse). The record is from RNAcentral. Lineage: Eukaryota; Metazoa; Chordata; Mammalia; Rodentia; Muridae.
UAGGUGUCUUUUCAGUCUAAGGGAAUAGA